Molecule: ribosomal RNA, 86 nt
Filed under: Odoribacter splanchnicus
Lineage: Bacteria; Pseudomonadati; Bacteroidota; Bacteroidia; Bacteroidales; Odoribacteraceae
Source: RNAcentral
CACCUCUUUCCAUUCCGAACAGAGAAGUUAAGCCCCUGAGUGCCGAUGGUACUGCCUUAUGGUGGGAGAGUAGGUUGGCGCCGAAU